RNAcentral lists this ribosomal RNA (375 nucleotides) under Rhynchacris ornata. RNAcentral describes it as "partial 12S ribosomal RNA". The record is from RNAcentral. Lineage: Eukaryota; Metazoa; Arthropoda; Insecta; Phasmatodea; Pseudophasmatidae.
UUAUACAAAAUAUACUAAUUAAUAUAGUUGGUUUUAAUAAUUAUAUUUUUAUAUAUUUGAUUUUAUUUAUUUAUUUUUUAGGUGAAAUUAUAAAUUUUAUAUUUAAUUUUAUUUUAUUAUAUUAUGAAAAGCAUUUUUAUAAACUGGGAUUAGAUACCCCAUUAUUUUGUUUGUUAAUAUUUACCAGGGUAGUAGUUAUUAUUUUAUUUAAACCUAAAGAAUUUGGCGGUGUUUUAGUCUACUUAGAGGAACUUGUCCCUUUAUCGAUAGUCCUCGUUAUAUCUUUCUUUAUUUUGUUUAGUUCAGUAUGUAUACCGCCGUUAUAAGUUUAUGUUAUUAGAUUAAUAAUUUACUUAAAAUUAUAUUUGAUUAUAU